UGGAAAAGCGCGCCGGUAACAAGCUCCCCCUCCAACUCCUCCACCUGCUCUCUCUCGUCGCCAUCUGCACCGCCUCCGCCCACCCCGCCUACGACGACGCCGGAGGCGCCGCCGCGUGCGGCGCCGACACCACCGUCCCCUUGCCGGUGAGGAGGGAGGAGUACGACGGCGGGAGAAUCCUCGACAUCACCCACUACUACCGCGAGGACAUGCCCGCCUUCG
RNAcentral lists this unclassified non-coding RNA (222 nucleotides) under Hevea brasiliensis (rubber tree). Lineage: Eukaryota; Viridiplantae; Streptophyta; Magnoliopsida; Malpighiales; Euphorbiaceae. The record is from RNAcentral.